UCCCAAGGGUAUGGCUGUUCGCCAUUUAAAGUGGUACGCGAGCUGGGUUUAGAACGUCGUGAGACAGUUCGGUCCCUAUCUGCCGUGGGCGCUGGAGAACUGAGGGGGGCUGCUCCUAGUACGAGAGGACCGGAGUGGACGCAUCACUGGUGUUCGGGUUGUCAUGCCAAUGGCACUGCCCGGUAGCUAAAUGCGGAAGAGAUAAGUGCUGAAAGCAUCUAAGCACGAAACUUGCCCCGAGAUGAGUUCUCCCUGAGACUUUAAGUCUCCUGAAGGAACGUUGAAGACGACGACGUUGAUAGGCCGGGUGUGUAAGCGCAGCGAUGCGUUGAGCUAACCGGUACUAAUGAACCGUGAGGCUUAACCUUACAACGCCGAAG
This 380-nucleotide ribosomal RNA is filed under the name Salmonella enterica subsp. enterica serovar Infantis. Its description in RNAcentral is "partial 23S ribosomal RNA". It matches the Rfam family "Bacterial large subunit ribosomal RNA", at positions 2563 to 2925 of the family's 2925-position model. The record is from RNAcentral. Lineage: Bacteria; Pseudomonadati; Pseudomonadota; Gammaproteobacteria; Enterobacterales; Enterobacteriaceae. RNAcentral also lists the same sequence under 1 other name.